RNAcentral lists this ribosomal RNA (262 nucleotides) under uncultured bacterium. RNAcentral describes it as "partial 16S ribosomal RNA". It matches the Rfam family "Bacterial small subunit ribosomal RNA", at positions 793 to 1055 of the family's 1533-position model. The record is from RNAcentral.
GUCCUGGCCGUAAACGUUGUCAACUAGUCGGUGGGAGUGUCGAUCCUUUCACUGACUGAGCUAACGCAUUAAGUUGACCGCCUGGGGAGUAUGCGCGCAAGCGUGAAACUCAAAGGAAUUGACGGGGCCCGCACAAGCGGUGGAGCAUGUGGUUUAAUUCGAUAAUAAGCGAGGAACCUUACCUGGGCUUGACAUGCAGUAGACGGUCUGCGAAAGUAGACUUCCCGCAAGGGCUGCUGCACAGGUGCUGCAUGGCUGUCGU